GAUGAACGCUGGCGGCGUGCCUAAUACAUGCAAGUCGAGCGAACAGACGAGGAGCUUGCUCCUCUGACGUUAGCGGCGGACGGGUGAGUAACACGUGGAUAACCUACCUAUAAGACUGGGAUAACUUCGGGAAACCGGAGCUAAUACCGGAUAAUAUAUUGAACCGCAUGGUUCAAUAGUGAAAGACGGUUUUGCUGUCACUUAUAGAUGGAUCCGCGCCGGAUUAGCUAGUUGGUAAGGUAACGGCUUACCAAGGCAACGAUGCGUAGCCGACCUGAGAGGGGUAGCGGCCACACUGGAAACUGAGCCAGGGCCAGGCUCCUAAGGGAGGGAGCAGUAGGGAAUCUUCCGCAAUUGGCGAAAACCUGGCGCAACAACGCCGGGUGGGUGAUGGAGGUCUUCGGAUCGUAAAACUCUGUUAUUAGGGAAGAACAAAUGUGUAAGUAACUAUGCACGUCUUGACGGUACCUAAUCAGAAAGCCACGGCUAACUACGUUC
RNAcentral lists this ribosomal RNA (498 nucleotides) under uncultured bacterium. Its description in RNAcentral is "partial 16S ribosomal RNA". It matches the Rfam family "Bacterial small subunit ribosomal RNA", at positions 28 to 508 of the family's 1533-position model. The record is from RNAcentral.